UACAAAUAUACUGAUUAGUCUGUUGUAACUUGCUGAUGCAUCGUCAAUCCAGCUGUUUUCCGAAAGUACACAUGAAUUUAGCCACAGACAGACAUGAACUCUGAGGAGUAAGGUAGAGUUUCAAUAUGUUCCUUUCUCUCUCUCUCAUUUUUAAAGAUAUGAUUGUAUCUUAGGAAAAUAUGAAAGGUCAUUCCUAAUAUCCAGGGAACAUCAUCACAUCUGACACCGUGUCUCUGCAGCGCGUGAAGUCACUGUCUAGUUCCCCUUUGCCUAUAUUUUUAGUGCAAGUUCGCUUGGAGAAAUGGUCAGUAUAUGAGGGAGCAUAUAGCAUAUAGCAUGUAGAAGUGGGGUCCUCAGGAGUUACAGUGAGCUUUUAUAUAGAGCAGUAGUAGCUUAUUGAGCCACUUAGUAAGAAAUGUGUUAAAAAAAUUCUUAAAGGAGUGUGAAAUAGGAGUGCAUCUACUUGAAGCAAGAGGUAAAAUACAGAUUGUGGGAAUUUGGCACGUUGAAGAACAGUGUUGGAGACAUUCUUUUCUUUUUUUUCACUUCAUAAUGAAAACAUUUAUCAUUUCUUUUUUUCUUUCAUCAUCGUUCAUUAUUUAUAUUCAAAUGGCACAGACAGGUUUCAGCUGAAUUGGAGCACAUUUUCAUAUGGUUCUUACAUGAUAUGAUUACCUUAGCUCUAAGCAGGAAGGAAGGCUAAAAAGGGUAAGAUAGAAGUGUGUCCUUCUCUUUUGAGGAUACUAGUAAACUCUGCAUACCGGGUUUUUUUUGGUUCAAAGAAAAUGCCUUUUUGCCAUUCUAGUUUAUGGUGCCAAGUGCCCAAGUUACUGAUAAUGAAACUGAAUUAGGAGCUAGUUAAGCCUUUCAGAAAGGAGUUUUUGACUCCAACUCAUCCUCUCUGCAGAACUUCUCACUCAUCUCUCUUACUUCAAGUUGGAUCUUGCUACCUACGUAUGGCAUAAAAGGAAACUGGAUUUUUGUUUUGUUUUGUUUUAAUUGUUAUAUUUUAUUUCAUUUCCAUAGCAGGACAGAAAGUGUCAAAGCAAUGCCGUAUUUUACGGACUGCUCUUUUGUUAAUGAAAAUAUCUUAAGUGUCUGCAGUCCAGAUGUUUGACAGCCUUAUUUUAUGUCUUAAUUGUUAAGACUAGGAAGAGGCUUAGCGUGAAAUUCUGUUUGCUACUGUAAUGAAUAACAUAUGAGGAGGGAAGCAAAGUGUGGUGAAAAGUAUAGGCAGGACAUUACAAAAGUUAGUGGUGUACUAGCGUUUGAGUAAACACCAACGUAAGAAUGGAGCAGAAUGCAAAGAUAGUGCAUGACAUACAGCCUGUGGAGCAGCAAGACAUCAGCACAGACUAAAGCCUGCAGCUCCACAGGUAUCCCAGCUUGCUUCCACCAUUCCAACCACAACACCAAGGAGAAGAUGGUGACUUCUUACAGCUGUGCCUUAAUUGUUAUCCUAUAGAUUCCAGCAUUGCUGCUUUUCACUAAGUCCUUGGAAACAGUUUGUACUGAGAUUCAAAAGUGAAAAUGAUAGAAGUGAACUGAAGUUGAAAUCCACCCCCGCUGCCAUCAUGGUGGGUAAUACAAGGCUACAACAUCUUUUGGCUUGCACCUCACUUUGUUGGUGUGUGAAGGCAGGCUCAAAUGUUCUGUUGAAGUAUGCACCUUUUUCUUUCUCUGCUGUACUCAGGUUUGUGCAAAGGUAGUAGACAUGCCAGUGUUUUUCACACCUCCUUGGGAGAUAGAUACACUACAAUAGAGGGAGAUAGGCCCCUUCUCUUCUCCUAUGCAUGGAAAAUAUUAACGAAAGGACAGAAAACAGUGUAUGCAAGGAGUUUUGUCAUCUCAUUUUUCCCUACCCACUCACCUACACAAGUAAGACAAACUAGCCUGUUUUCUUUUUCCCUAUUAACGCCUACUUCAUACACAGGGGUUUUAUAGGUUGGUGUCAUUGUAAAGACUGAGUCCGUUAUAUUUUCCUCUACCAUUUUUAUCAAUCACCUUGGCUUUACUUUCCCCCACUUUUAGAAAGGGAGAAAGCUGAGAAAAUCACAAUUUUACAGCUUCAAAAGUCAGUUUAUUUGUUGUUUGGAGAAAGAAGUAUAGUUCUAUGAAGAAAAAAAGGUCUGUCUUCUUUUUUGCUGCUCUUUGAUAGGGGAAUUGUUAUACACCACUGAGUACCUUUUUGGUACCAAAAAAAUUAUGUUAUUUUAAUAAUGGUUUAAUAAGCCUUUUCCUUGAAAAAGAAGUUGAAUUUAUAAAGCACUGGUUUUGUCCAGACUUGAAUCUUCUGAUUUUGGGAGUUACCCAUAAUAAAUAGCAAAAUAGAAUGGUGUUAUGAAGAGAGAAAACUACAGGUGCAUGAAAAAAUCAGUGCAGUGUUUGUCUAAAGAUAUGAAUGCUUUAGCAUUCUCUCACAGUCACAUUCAUCAAAGUCCUUUGUCUAUGACAACAUCAAUUCUAUGUUUAAUUCUUCCCAUUGGAAGUAUAUUUAGUAGCAGGUUUUCAUGUUCAGUGAAAGCUCUUGAAAAUGAAAUUGGUUUCCUGCAGGGCAUGCAUUACAAUGAUGGAAAUCCAGGUCAAUUAAACUGAAGUUGAUGAUGCUACCCUAGAUUUACAUAUCUGUAAUGGAGAAUACAGUCUGGCUCCAAAUGCGUAUGAAAUCCCAGCUAAUGUAGAACUGGCAUGGAAAAGAAUAACUUUUAAUGCGACCUUUCAUAAAUUUUCUCAGAAGUUUUUUUUUUAAAGGAACAAGUGCACAUUGGUCAAGUAUCAGACAGUGGUGCUGUUGAUUCCAGAUUGCAUGUGUAUUACUCACAGAUCCAGCUGUCUAUCUUCAUUUACACUCACCUUUGGAGUCAUUGGUCCCUCAAACUGAAACAGAAGCAGUUGUACCCAGAGGGGAUGCAGGACUUUGUCCAACUUGAUUUUAGUGGCUGGACAUCUGUUCAGACAAGAGAGAAAGCUAUCAAGUGCAUCUGCGAUCAGUGAGGAAGGAAAUUGAAUUUGUGUUGAAGUCCUACCAGGUCAAAUGGUUCACUGCAGCUUUUUCUUCUCCUUCUGUUAUCACAUACGCAGCUCCUCUACCAGCUAGAAAAAAGACUGAGAGCAAAUAUUGCUCUUAGAAGAUUAAAUACUAUUUGAUGAUGCAGAGGUUGAAGAGCUGAUCCUCAACUAACCUGUGAUGAACGGCUUGAUAAUUGGCCACUUUCUACAAAUGUUAGACUCCUCCAAAAAUAUAUUGUUAUUCAAGAAGUUGAUAAUCCCAAAAUGUUAGCCCUAUUUUUUCUUCUGGUAUUGAAUUAUUUUCUAUACACCAAGUCACCUGCUGAAGAAAGGGCGGAAAGAAGUCAAAGAUUUUUUUUUUCUUUAAUGACUUUUAUAACAACAUAUUGCUGAGGCUUUAAAAUAAAUAUAAUUUUUAUUAGUUGUCUUACAGACAUCUCACAAGCUAAUCUUGUUUUUUGUUGAUUGAAUGCCACUCGUCAAAUGUCUUGCUGAAUACUUGAUACACUUUCAAACUGUGCUUUUGUGUGCUCUCCAUUUUCCCUCUACAGCAAUUGCUGAGAAUAAUUAGGUACACUAGAACACGGAAUGCUUUUUUUGGAUACUUACUUAUUCACAUAACUGGAUUUGCAAGGUGAUGUGAAAGAACUGAAUAGGUCAUUUUUUUAAUGAAUGAAGGAAGAAGUAAAAUUCAACUUUUCAACUAUUUCACUAUUUUUUUCUCUUUCAUGUUUCUUUUUGUUGCUAGUCUUUUAACCCUCCUUUUGCUGCUUCAGCUUUUUGUGUUAAUUCUCCUCUGUUCUCCUCCAUUUGCUUCCAAAGACUCCUAGGAAGACCUAUCUGAAAUUUUAUUUUUAGAAAGAAAAUAGACGUAGAUAGUAAUAUCAAUUACCAGAAAAGAGGACUGUAAGGAAUCACCUGAAUUACUGAGUCCAGUCCUCUGGAAUUGGCAACCUUAGUAAUAGACAUUUACUCCAAGAGGAUCUGCAACAGUUCAGCUCACUAAACAUCACAACAUCCAUGAAGUUCUGAUUAAUAACCUUCACCCUUAUAGGAAAGAACAAUGGUGCAGCUGUAAUACGCCACAGGAAAAAAGUGAGGUACUGGAAUCAUUGCUGAUGUCCUAGAUCCUGCAACAACAAGGGAUUUGCUAGGUGGAUUUCCCAGAUGCUCUUUAGCAGUAUCUUAUUGCCCGCAGAAUAGGGAGUAAAAAAGAACAACCUCCAAUAAUCCCUAUCAGUCUGCUUGAGGUUUUGUCUGCCAUAUGUUCCAUCAAAACUUCCUGCCUUAUAUUUCAUCUCUUAACAGUGACUGGUUUUGAAUACUUCAAAGAAACAAUUAAAAAAGCAGCAUCCACAUUAGUUAUGUGGCAAGGUGGUGAGGUAGGUAAGCAUUGAAAGCUGUGAAAUGUGCAUUAUGUUUACUAAACGCAGUCAAAAGAAAGCAAUCAAGUGAUUUUGCAAAAUGUAGGAUAACAAAUAAGCCACUGACUGUUAAAAGUAUUACAGAACAGUAUUCUUGUGCAAUCAGGAAAAGUUCCUGGAAACUGGUAUUUGAGAACUGUGUAAACAGCCAACAUUUACUCUUCAUGGGGCACUGAUGAAAGCGUAUGAACAUAUGAGCAAGUCUGAAAAUAUGUAGCCAGAGGUAGGGGUCUGUAACUGGUGUGAGUUUUCAUUCCACUCAAGUAAGCAUGGCAUAUCAUGACACAUUUUAAUACUGAAUGGAUUCCAUACGCAUCUGUAGAGUUUUUACUAAGCUGCUGCAGCUUGACGCUCACAGUGUUUCUAUGAAGUAUUGCAGCUGUUGCUCAGAUCUUGGCAUGGUACAACUGAGUAUUUCCCAUAUAGAUGCUUCUUCUCAUCAGCUGCUUUGGUCACAGACUGUCAUUCUCAGUGUCCUUUCACAACUAUUCAAUCUGUGCUUUCUUCAUUCUUCUCAUCAUGAUUAUGCCAUGAGCUACCCCCGAGA
Molecule: long non-coding RNA, 4980 nt
Organism: Falco peregrinus (peregrine falcon)
Lineage: Eukaryota; Metazoa; Chordata; Aves; Falconiformes; Falconidae
Exons: 3
Source: RefSeq, a predicted model, not a curated record